Non-coding RNA from Podarcis lilfordi (Lilford's wall lizard), 206 nucleotides. The record is from the annotation of a GenBank genome assembly. Lineage: Eukaryota; Metazoa; Chordata; Lepidosauria; Squamata; Lacertidae.
CUACCGUGUUGUUAAUGUUCUGUUGGGAGCUGCCCAGAGUGGCUUGGGAAACCCAGCCAGAUGGGCGGGGUAUAAAAUAAUAAUAAUAAUAAUAAUAAUAAUAAUAAUAAUAACAAUAAUAAUAAUUUAUUACUUGUACCCCGCCCAUCUGCCUCGGUUUCCCCAGCCACUCUGGGCGGCUUCCAACAAAGAUUAAAAAUACAUUA